CCGCGGUAAUACAGAGGUCUCAAGCGUUGUUCGGAAUCACUGGGCGUAAAGGGUGCGUAGGUGGCAUGGUAAGUCAGAUGUGAAAGCCCAGGGCUCAACCUUGGAAUUGCAUCCGAUACUGCUGUGCUAGAGUACUGGAGGGGUGACUAGAAUUCUCGGUGUAGCAGUGAAAUGCGUAGAUAUCGAGAGGAAUACCAAAGGCGUAGGCAGGUCACUGGACAGUUACUGACACUGAGGCACGAAGGCCAGG
RNAcentral lists this ribosomal RNA (250 nucleotides) under uncultured bacterium. RNAcentral's name for it is "partial 16S ribosomal RNA". It matches the Rfam family "Bacterial small subunit ribosomal RNA", at positions 515 to 764 of the family's 1533-position model. The record is from RNAcentral.